This 408-nucleotide ribosomal RNA is filed under the name uncultured bacterium. RNAcentral's name for it is "bacterial SSU rRNA". It matches the Rfam family "Bacterial small subunit ribosomal RNA", at positions 505 to 916 of the family's 1533-position model. The record is from RNAcentral.
GUGCCAGCCGCCGCGGUAAUACGUAGGGGGCAAGCGUUAUCCGGAAUCAUUGGGCGUAAAGGGUGCGUAGGCGGCCUUAUAAGUCAGAGGUCAAAGGCUACGGCUCAACCGUAGUAAGCCUUUGAAACUGUAGGGCUUGAGUGCAGGAGAGGAGAGUGGAAUUCCUAGUGUAGCGGUGAAAUGCGUAGAUAUUAGGAGGAACACCAGUGGCGAAGGCGACUCUCUGGACUGCAACUGACGCUGAGGCACGAAAGCGUGGGUAGCGAACAGGAUUAGAUACCCUGGUAGUCCACGCCGUAAACGAUGAGUGCUAGGUGUCGGGGGUCAAACCUCGGUGCCGCAGUUAACGCAUUAAGCACUCCGCCUGGGGAGUACGUACGCAAGUAUGAAACUCAAAUAAAUUGACGG